AUAGUGGGGUAGGCGAUAGUGAUGUAAACGUAGAUGAUGAUGUAUCUGGGCAUGUAAAUCCUUUAAGGAUAGCCUUUUAUCCCGUAGUGUUGGUAUUUGUGACAUGCUGUAAUGUGUUUUUCUUUUAAUGAAAUUUUUGUUUUGCGUUCAUACUCGAACUGUUCUUUCUUUAUCAUAGAUGAAGUACUUAGAUUGCUUGCUCCGUAACUUUUCCCGAGGGAUCUGCUGUAUUGCUUUCUCCUUCUUGC
This 248-nucleotide long non-coding RNA is filed under the name Manihot esculenta (cassava). Its description in RNAcentral is "long non-coding RNA (MESC_LNC002889)". The record is from RNAcentral. Lineage: Eukaryota; Viridiplantae; Streptophyta; Magnoliopsida; Malpighiales; Euphorbiaceae.